GUCUGGAACAUAACAUUACGGUGUCAAAAUAUUCAGCAUUCUUCAUUCUGACCAGUUAAGAAAUGAAUAAACAUUAAUUAUCAUUGAACAUUGCUCACGGGAGAGUUUGGGAUGAAUAUACCACACUAUAGAAAGUUAACACUGUUCAGUUCUGUGGAACAGCAAUAUGGGGACAUUCGAACACAGGCUCUCCAGAGUUAGGUUAAGACAAAAGUCAUGUCACCUGAAACACACUCAGGUUUUUCAGGUCUAAAGAAAUAUGAGGACAUGACGACUGAAAUCAUGGAGAGUCCAUGUUUCUGAUUUAUAACUUCUCCUGUGUUUGUCAAAGAAAGCUGAAAACUCAAACCUAGUAUAUCAUGAUAAGAAGUAGUAACCUGUUGUAAGGAUGAAGUGGAUCUCUCACUCCAUUCUUGGUUUCCAGAGGGUUCAGUCAGGUACCUGUCACUUGAUGUCUGCAACAUAACAUUACGGUGUCAAAAGUUUCAGCAUUCUUCAUUCUGACCAGUUAAGAAAUGAAUAAACAUUAUUUCUCAUUGAACAUUGCCCACAGGAGAGUUUGAGAAUAAUGUACCACACUAUAGUAAGUUAACACUGUUCAGCUCUGAGUAACAGCAAUAUGGGGACAUUCGAACACAGGCUCUCCAGAGUUAGGUUAAGACAAAAGUCAUGACACCUGAAACACACUCAGGUUUUUCAGGUCUAAAGAAAUAUGAGGACAUGACGACUGAAAUCAUGGAGAGUCCAUGUUUCUGAUUUAUAACUUCUCCUGUGUUUGUCAAAGAAAGCUGAAAACUCAAACCUAGUAUAUCAUGAUAAGAAGUAGUAACCUGUUGUAAGGAUGAAGUGGAUCUCUCACUCCAUUCAUGGUCUCCAGAGGGUUCAGUCAGGUCACUUGGUGUCUGCAACAUAACAUUACGGUGUCAAAAUAUUCAGCAUUCUUCAUUUUGACCAGUUAAGAAAUGAAUAAAUAUUAAUUAUCAUUGAACAUUGCUCACGGGAGAGUUUGGGAUGAAUAUACCACACUAUAGAAAGUUAACACUGUUCAGUUCUGUGGAAUAGCAAUAUGGGGACAUUCGAACACAGGCUCUCCAGAGUUAGGUUAAGACAAAAGUCAUGUCACCUGAAACACACUCAGGUUUUUCAGGUCUAAAGAAAUAUGAGGACAUGACGACUGAAAUCAUGGAGAGUCCAUGUUUCUGAUUUAUAACUUCUCCUGUGUUUGUCAAAGAAAGCUGAAAACUCAAACCUAGUAUAUCAUGAUAAGAAGUAGUAACCUGUUGUAAGGAUGAAGUGGAUCUCUCACUCCAUUCUUGGUUUCCAGAGGGUUCAGUCAGGUACCUGUCACUUGAUGUCUGCAACAUAACAUUACGGUGUCAAAAGUUUCAGCAUUCUUCAUUCUGACCAGUUAAGAAAUGAAUAAAUAUUAAUUAUCAUUGAACAUUGCUCACGGGAGAGUUUGGGAUGAAUAUACCACACUAUAGAAAGUUAACACUGUUCAGUUCUGUGGAACAGCAAUAUGGGGACAUUCGAACACAGGCUCUCCAGAGUUAGGUUAAGACAAAAGUCAUGUCACCUGAAACACACUCAGGUUUUUCAGGUCUCAAGAAAUAUGAGGACAUGACGACUGAAAUCAUGGAGAGUCUAUGUUUCUGACUUAUAACUUCUCCUGUGUUUGUCAAAGAAAGCUGAAAACUCAAACCUAGUAUAUCAUGAUAAGAAGUAGUAACCUGUUGUAAGAAUGAAGUGGAUAUCUCACUCCAUUCAUGGUCUCCAGAGGGUUCAGUCAGGUCACUUGGUGUCUGCAACAUAACAUUACGGUGUCAAAAUAUUCAGCAUUCUUCAUUCUGACCAGUUAAGAAAUGAAUAAAUAUUAAUUAUCAUUGAACAUUGCUCACGGGAGAGUUUGGGAUGAAUAUACCACACUAUAGAAAGUUAACACUGUUCAGUUCUGUGGAACAGCAAUAUGGGGACAUUCGAACACAGGCUCUCCAGAGUUAGGUUAAGACAAAAGUCAUGUCACCUGAAACACACUCAGGUUUUUCAGGUCUCAAGAAAUAUGAGGACAUGACGACUGAAAUCAUGGAGAGUCUAUG
This is a long non-coding RNA of Hippocampus zosterae (dwarf seahorse), 2096 nucleotides long. RefSeq lists it as uncharacterized. The transcript has 3 exons. The record is from RefSeq and is a predicted model, not a curated record. NCBI's taxonomy places the organism in Eukaryota, Metazoa, Chordata, Actinopteri, Syngnathiformes, Syngnathidae.